GUCAGACUAUGGUAAUCGGGUCGAUUUUGGUGGCCGAGGUGGUGGUAGAGGUGGAGUGUCGAACCGUGGUGGUGGUGAGGGCGGGUACCAGAGAGUUGAUAGCAUGGGUGGAUCAAAUGGUGGCCGUGGGAACCGCCCUGGAUCAAUGGCUGCCAAUGGGCCCUCGAGAACUUUUGCUCCGCGGGUGCCUGCUCCAGCUUGAGACAUAAAUUAAGAUAAGUCUUAGGAUUUUGGUUUUGUCUGUGCGCCUGUGGUCUUCAUUAGUCGGUAUUUGUUAUUGUUAACAGGUUGGUGUCUCUGAAACUGUCA
This 309-nucleotide unclassified non-coding RNA is filed under the name Hevea brasiliensis (rubber tree). Lineage: Eukaryota; Viridiplantae; Streptophyta; Magnoliopsida; Malpighiales; Euphorbiaceae. The record is from RNAcentral.